Vicugna pacos (alpaca) is the source of this 159-nucleotide non-coding RNA. The record is from RefSeq and is a predicted model, not a curated record. Lineage: Eukaryota; Metazoa; Chordata; Mammalia; Artiodactyla; Camelidae.
AUUCCUUUGAUAACUAUGUAAGUUUAAAAAGCUAAAGCUCUAAAUGUUCUUAGAAACAAUGAACAGUACAUAUAUGUAAAUUUUAAAAAUAUGUGCAGUAUGUUGUGUAUAUGUAUUUACAUGCGAUACAUUAUAUAUGUGCUAAGUGUAACAAUUAUG